RNAcentral lists this ribosomal RNA (931 nucleotides) under uncultured sponge bacterium. RNAcentral's name for it is "bacterial SSU rRNA". It matches the Rfam family "Bacterial small subunit ribosomal RNA", at positions 76 to 996 of the family's 1533-position model. The record is from RNAcentral.
GAGUUUACUCUCAGGCGUCGAGCGGCGGACGGGUGAGUAAUGCGUAGGAACCUACCCAAUAGUAGGGAACAACCCGGGGAAACUCGGGCUAAUACCGUAUAAGCCUUACGAGGGAAAGGGGGCCUCUCCAUGGAAGCCCUCGCUGUCGGAUGGGCCUACGUGAGAUUAGCUUGUUGGUGAGGUAAUGGCUCACCAAGGCAACGAUCUCUAGCUGGUCUGAGAGGAUGAUCAGCCACACUGGGACUGAGAUACGGCCCAGACUCCUACGGGAGGCAGCAGUGGGGAAUAUUGCGCAAUGGGCGAAAGCCUGACGCAGCUAUGCCGCGUGUGUGACCGAAGGUUUUUGGAUUGUAAAACACUUUAAGUAGUGAAGAAGGCGUGAACGGUUAAUACCCGAUCAGGUUGACGUUAACUACAGAAUAAGCACCGGCUAACUCCGUGCCAGCAGCCGCGGUAAUACGGGGGGUGCAAGCGUUAAUCGGAAUUACUGGGCGUAAAGAGUACGUAGGCGGAUUGAAAAGUUGGAUGUGAAAGCCCCGAGCUUAACUUGGGAACUGCAUCCAAAACUUUCAGUCUAGAGUAUGAAAGAGGGGGGUAGAAUUCACGGUGUAGCGGUGGAAUGCGUAGAGAUCGUGAGGAAUACCAGUGGCGAAAGCGGCCCUCUGGUUCAAUACUGACGCUGAGGUACGAAAGCGUGGGGAGCAAACAGGAUUAGAUACCCUGGUAGUCCACGCCCUAAACGAUGACAACUCGCUGUUGGGAGUUUUAAAUUCUCAGUGGCUCAGCUAACGCGUUAAGUUGUCCGCCUGGGGAGUACGACCGCAAGGUUAAAACUCAAAUGAAUUGACGGGGGGCCCGCACAAGCGGUGGAGCAUGUGGUUUAAUUCGAUGCAACGCGAAAAACCUUACCUACCUUUGACAUUCCCAGAAG